AACUCUGAUGGCAUUGUACAAUUUCCCUUUGUCUUGAUGCUAGUUCUAGAAUCUAAUCCAGAAGUACCUAACUAGGACAUAUUGCUAAUCAUUUUGUCUUCAAAGUUCAAACCAACUUAAGCAUCUGCCAAAGCCAAAAAUAAAAAGCAAAAAAAGAAAAAGGCUUCUGAAAAUGUCAAAUAAUUUCUCGGAAACUUUUACAAAACUAAGACAGUCUUAUGUAUCAGCAGUUAAACAAAUUCAAUGAGAUCUGAUUUGC
RNAcentral lists this long non-coding RNA (259 nucleotides) under Elaeis guineensis (African oil palm). RNAcentral describes it as "long non-coding RNA (EGUI_LNC080163)". The record is from RNAcentral. Lineage: Eukaryota; Viridiplantae; Streptophyta; Magnoliopsida; Arecales; Arecaceae.